AUGGGUGGGUAGUUCCCUGGUUGGUUAUAUGUGAGGGUGGAUGCCUGGUUGGCUGGUUGGUUGUAUGGGAGGGUAGGUGGUUGGCUGGUUGGCUGUAUGGGAGGGUGGGUAGCUGGUUCGCUGGUUGGUUGUGUGGGAGGGUGGGUGGCUGGUUGGCUGGUUGGUUGUAUGGGGGGGUAGGUAGAUGUACAAGAAGUGAGCAGUGGUGGCUUUGUGUUAGAGUGCGUUAGGUCUGACUUUUCUAAAUUUGGAAUGGGAGAGGUGUUAAGUUGGAUUCAGGACACUCUCCACUGAUGUGAACGGAGAGGUUGGGGAUCAGAUUGUUUUAUGAGCCUCCAGCUUCUCUGUGCAGUGGUCUCUGACCCAUCACUGUGUCUUCACCCCACAUCUGCAUGCCGUAAAGCUUCCUUACGACAUGCAUAUGUCUCGACUGCAAACACCAUGGCAUAUCCCUCUCAAAUGCACUAUAAAGAGCAAUGGCUCGGGGAAGAACUGUUAGGAGUGUGAGCCCCUUAUUAUUUUAAAGGGCAUUUCAACAACACCACCGAAUGUUCUCUGACCGUAAGCCUGAUUCUGGUUUUCUCUCUCGCUUUGUUUUCUCGUCCUCUCAGGAUAUCAAGGCAGACUGCAAUACCUGCGUGGGAAUAGAAGACAGAAAGGGAGCUGGCGAUUUGUUACUGACUGGUGCCCUCCCAACAGAGCCCAUCUCACCGAAACCUGGGAAAUCUGAGAGCCAGGUGAUGUCUCUACCUAACACAUUUUGGCACUUGUUCUGUUGAAUUCAGAAAUGCCGAAUUCAGAGGUUUAGAAGCAGAGAUUUAACAACCAAAAACCAUGCAUAGUCAACCUGAUAAAUUAAGAUAUCCUGUUAGCCUGAGACACUUAAGUGAUUUUUUUUUUUUACCCAGAAAUGCAGUGAUUUUUACAUGUCAUGUCCGGGAUCGACUCUCUCUGUCAGCUCAGCGAGUGUCUUCCGAGCUGACAGGCGAUAAACCCGUGGAAAGCCUCAGUCACACUGGUUAUUGAUGAUGCUCGCUGGACCAGGGGUGUGUCAUUAGCAUGUGCUUCUGCGGGCCUCGUGUCUAUAUAUGGACCGGGAAGAAAACUUGGGAUUCUGCAGGCAUUCUCCUUAUUUUCUGAGGGAGUUGAGUGAAAUGGCUUCUGUCCACAGGGGACGUGGAGUGGAAGGUAUGAGGAGGAUAAUUUCUUUGCCUCAUUUUGGAACCGGUGGCUGCCUCUCAGCCAGCUAGUGAGUAUUUUCUGCAGAGAACCGGAUUGCCGAGUUCUUUGCAACGAUGUCUUUGUCUUUUGCCUCCAUGUCCUCUUGAGGAAAAAAUCCAAAUGAAACGUUACAGCAGCAGAUAAUAUUUAUUUAUUGGUCUUUUGUGUGUGGUAGGUAAGCCAGCGUAAUCCCACAUGCUGUGAUGAAAUGGUCAGUGGUACUGGCCUGUCUUGUCUUUUAGUGGGAGAGCUACAUGGUAAGGUCAGUCUGUGUUUAAGAUGACUUUAGCAUUUGGUGAAGGAUGUGAGAGAAUGCGCAUAGUGUUACAGUAAAGAGUAGAUGGUAGUAGGCCGGCGCCGCAGCUCACUAGGCUAAUCCUCCGCCUAGCGGCGCCUGCUGACACACCGGGUUCUAGUCCCGGUCGGGGUGCCGGAUUCUGUCCUGGUUGCCCCUCUUCCAGGCCAGCUCUCUGCUGUGGCCAGGGAGUGCAGUGGAGGAUGGCCCAAGUGCGUGGGCCCUGCACCCCACAUGGGAGACCAGGAGAGGCACCUGGCUCC
RNAcentral lists this long non-coding RNA (1779 nucleotides) under Oryctolagus cuniculus (rabbit). RNAcentral describes it as "lncRNA (ENSOCUG00000032774.1)". The record is from RNAcentral. Lineage: Eukaryota; Metazoa; Chordata; Mammalia; Lagomorpha; Leporidae.